Molecule: ribosomal RNA, 460 nt
Filed under: uncultured bacterium
Lineage: Bacteria
Description: partial 16S ribosomal RNA
Rfam family: Bacterial small subunit ribosomal RNA
Source: RNAcentral
CCUACGGGUGGCUGCAGUGAGGAAUAUUGGUCAAUGGACGCAAGUCUGAACCAGCCAUGCCGCGUGCAGGAAGAAGGUGCUAUGCAUUGUAAACUGCUUUUAUACGGGGGUAAUUACAGAUACGUGUAUCUUGAUGAAAGUACCGUAUGAAUAAGGAUCGGCUAACUCCGUGCCAGCAGCCGAGGUAAUACGGAGGAUCCGAGCGUUAUCCGGAUUUAUUGGGUUUAAAGGGUGCGUAGGCGGUCAGGUAAGUUAGAUGUGAAAGCUAGAUGCGCAACAUGGAAAGUGCCUCUGAUACGGUCUGGCUAGAGUGUAGUUGCGGAAGGCAGAAUGUGUGGUGUAGCGGUGAAAUGCUUAGAGAUCACACAGAACACCGAUUGCGAAGGCAGCUUUCCAAGCUAUGACUGACGCUGAGGCACGAAAGCGUGGGGAGCGAACAGGAUUAGAUACCCGGGUAGUC